GUGGGUAUAGCUAAGUGGUAGAGUGCGUGCUUAGCAUGCAUGAGGUCCUGGGUUCAAUCCCCCAUUCCUCCA
RNAcentral lists this transfer RNA (72 nucleotides) under Camelus bactrianus (Bactrian camel). It matches the Rfam family "tRNA". Rfam says of the family: Transfer RNA (tRNA) molecules are approximately 80 nucleotides in length. Their secondary structure includes four short double-helical elements and three loops (D, anti-codon, and T loops). Further hydrogen bonds mediate the characteristic L-shaped molecular structure. tRNAs have two regions of fundamental functional importance: the anti-codon, which is responsible for specific mRNA codon recognition, and the 3' end, to which the tRNAs corresponding amino acid is attached (by aminoacyl-tRNA synthetases). tRNAs cope with the degeneracy of the genetic code in two manners: having more than one tRNA (with a specific anti-codon) for a particular amino acid; and 'wobble' base-pairing, i.e. permitting non-standard base-pairing at the 3rd anti-codon position. RNAcentral also lists the same sequence under 1 other name. Lineage: Eukaryota; Metazoa; Chordata; Mammalia; Artiodactyla; Camelidae. The record is from Rfam by way of RNAcentral.